CCUACGGGAGGCUGCAGUCGAGAAUCAUUCACAAUGGGGGAAACCCUGAUGGUGCGACGCCGCGUGGGGGAAUGAAGGUCUUCGGAUUGUAAACCCCUGUCAUGUGGGAGCAAAUUAAGAAGAUAGUACCACAAGAGGAAGAGACGGCUAACUCUGUGCCAGCAGCCGCGGUACUACAGAGGUCUCAAGCGUUGUUCGGAAUCACUGGGCGUAAAGCGUGCGUAGGCUGUUUCGUAAGUCUGGUGUGAAAGGCGCGGGCUCAACCCGCGGACGGCACAUGAUACUGCGAGACUAGAGUAAUGGAGGGGGAACCGGAAUUCUCGGUGUAGCAGUGAAAUGCGUAGAUAUCGAGAGGAACACUCGUGGCGAAGGCGGGUUCCUGGACAUUAACUGACGCUGAGGCACGAAGGCCAGGGGAGCGAAAGGGAUUAGAUACCCCUGUAGGC
RNAcentral lists this ribosomal RNA (446 nucleotides) under uncultured bacterium. RNAcentral's name for it is "partial 16S ribosomal RNA". It matches the Rfam family "Bacterial small subunit ribosomal RNA", at positions 338 to 795 of the family's 1533-position model. The record is from RNAcentral.